RNAcentral lists this long non-coding RNA (948 nucleotides) under Trifolium pratense (red clover). Its description in RNAcentral is "long non-coding RNA (TPRA_LNC004720)". Lineage: Eukaryota; Viridiplantae; Streptophyta; Magnoliopsida; Fabales; Fabaceae. The record is from RNAcentral.
ACAAAUACAUUACUGAGGGCCUUUAGCCCUCAAUAAGUUUGGUCAAGAAUAACAUGUUUUCUUGUAGUGUGUGUGUGUAUUUAGUGUAGGAUAUUUGUUUGUUGAAAAUGCUAUUGUGGUGCAUAAUUGUAUGCCUAUGUGUAAGUCGUUUGAGUUCUGUUUAGUGUAGAUUCAAGUGUGAAUUGUGAAACUAGUAAUGAAUUUAAAAUUAUAACUGUGAAGUGUAAAUGUUGAAGUUCUUCAAUACUAGUUUCAUUUUGUUUUGCUAGUUCUCUGUUUUAUUCUUAUUUUUCAGUUCUUUCAUAUGUGAGGAGAUCAUAUACUGGUGAUAUUUACCACGUCUUUAAAAAAAUCAUACAGGUACCAAGCUACCAAGCUUACUUUGCACAUGUAACUUAUUUUAUGGUAAAACUUGUAUGUAUCUGCAAUUGUAAAUGAUUCAGGAAGAUAAUAGGUAUGCCUCAAAUCACACAUUGGGAAUGGAUCUGCCACUCUUAGGUAAGUUUUAACUCAAAACACUAUAUAUUAGUGUCCUUUUCUCUAUUUUUCUGAAGUUCCAGAUUACUAGUCCUGCAUAAUAUUAGAAGUUUGGUAUGCUUAUUUUGUUCUUCUAUUAUUUUGAAUGACUUGUGAAAGAUACAUUCAUCAUGACCUUGUAAAUCAUUCGUAUACAAGUUUUAAUUACUUAAAUUUAUAUUGUUUCGUGGUAUUAUGUUCCAAGUUUCAACUAGCAAGUUUCAUAUUUUGCCUUUUAUUAUAGUACCAGUAUAUUUUUGUUCAAUAUGAACAAUUUUCAACAAAGACAGCAUAUUUGGCAUUGUAUGAACUCUCUCCUAUUGACAAGUCUUAAUUCAUAACAUUUUGGUUCUCUUGCUUUCUAAAUGUUCAGGUAAACAACAAGUCAGACUGGGGCCAUGUCAGUGAUGCCAUAGUUGUUUAGCUAAGGUA